UUGACCUCAAAUCAGGUAGGACUACCCGCUGAACUUAAGCAUAUCAAUAAGCGGAGGAAAAGAAACUAACAAGGAUUCCCCUAGUAACUGCGAGUGAACCGGGAAAAGCUCAAAUUUUGAAUCUGGCGGUCUUCAGGCCGUCCGAGUUGUAAUCUAGAGAAGCGUCUUCCGCGCUGGACCGUGUAUAAGUUUCCUGGAAUGGAACGUCGUAGAGGGUGAGAAUCCCGUCUUUGACACGGACUGCCAGGGCUAUGUGAUGCGCUCUCGACGAGUCGAGUUGUUUGGGAAUGCAGCUCAAAUAGGGUGGUAAAUUCCAUCUAAAGCUAAAUACAGGCGAGAGACCGAUAGCGAACAAGUACCGUGAGGGAAAGAUGAAAAGAACUUUGGAAAGAGAGUUAAACAGUACGUGAAAUUGCUGAAAGGGAAACGCUUGAUGUCAGUCGCGUCGGCCGGGGAUCAGCCUUGCUCUUUUGCUCGGUGUAUUUCCUGGCAGACGGGUCAGCAUCGGUUUUGACCGUCGGAAAAUGGCUGGAGGAAUGUGGCACUCCUCGG
This 552-nucleotide ribosomal RNA is filed under the name Suillus luteus. RNAcentral's name for it is "eukaryotic LSU rRNA". It matches the Rfam family "Eukaryotic large subunit ribosomal RNA", at positions 1 to 549 of the family's 3401-position model. Lineage: Eukaryota; Fungi; Basidiomycota; Agaricomycetes; Boletales; Suillaceae. The record is from RNAcentral.